CAAUAGCGUAUAUUAAAGUUGUUGCGGUUAAAAAGCUCGUAGUUGGAUUUCUGCUGAGAACGACCGGUCCGCCCUUUGGGUGUGUAUCUGGCUCUUUCUUGGCAUCUUCUUGGUGAACGUUGCUGCACUUGACUGUGUGGAGCGCUACCCAGGACUUUUACUUUGAGGAAAUUAGAGUGUUUCAAGCAGGCAUACGCCUUGAAUACAUUAGCAUGGAAUAAUAAGAUAGGACCUCGGUUCUAUUUUGUUGGUUUCUAGAGCUGAGGUAAUGAUUAAUAGGGAUAGUUGGGGGCAUUCGUAUUUAACCGUCAGAGGUGAAAUUCUUGGAUUUGUUAAAGACGGACUACUGCGAAAGCAUUUGCCAAGGAUGUUUUCAUUGA
This 380-nucleotide ribosomal RNA is filed under the name uncultured eukaryote. RNAcentral describes it as "partial 18S ribosomal RNA". It matches the Rfam family "Eukaryotic small subunit ribosomal RNA", at positions 592 to 976 of the family's 1831-position model. The record is from RNAcentral.